GACGAACGCUGGCGGCGUGCUUAACACAUGCAAGUCGAACGGAAAGGCCCUGCUUUUGUGGGGUGCUCGAGUGGCGAACGGGUGAGUAACACGUGAGUAACCUGCCCUUGACUUUGGGAUAACUUCAGGAAACUGGGGCUAAUACCGGAUAGGAGCCCCUGCUGCAUGGUGGGGGUUGGAAAGUUUCGGCGGUUGGGGUUGGACUCGCGGCUUAUCAGCUUGUUGGUGGGGUAGUGGCUUACCAAGGCUUUGACGGGUAGCCGGCCUGAGAGGGUGACCGGCCACAUGGGGACUGAGAUACGGCCCAGACUCCUACGGGAGGCAGCAGUGGGGAAUAUUGCACAAUGGGCGGAAGCCUGAUGCAGCAACGCCGCGUGCGGGAUGACGGCCUUCGGGUUGUAAACCGCUUUCGCCUGUGACGAAGCGUGAGUGACGGUAAUGGGUAAAGAAGCACCGGCUAACUACGUG
Molecule: ribosomal RNA, 468 nt
Filed under: uncultured bacterium
Lineage: Bacteria
Description: partial 16S ribosomal RNA
Rfam family: Bacterial small subunit ribosomal RNA
Source: RNAcentral